UACGUAGGGGGCAAGCGUUGUCCGGAAUCAUUGGGCGUAAAGAGCGCGUAGGCGGCCCAGUAAGUCCGCUCUGAAAGUCAGGGGCUCAACCCCUGAAUGCGGGUGGAUACUGCUGGGCUAGAGUCCGGAAGAGGCGAGUGGAAUUCCUGGUGUAGCGGUGAAAUGCGCAGAUAUCAGGAGGAACACCGAUGGCGAAGGCGGCUUCCUGGACCGACACUGACGCUGAGGCGCGAAAGCUAGGGGAGCAAACGGG
This 253-nucleotide ribosomal RNA is filed under the name uncultured bacterium. RNAcentral describes it as "partial 16S ribosomal RNA". It matches the Rfam family "Bacterial small subunit ribosomal RNA", at positions 524 to 776 of the family's 1533-position model. The record is from RNAcentral.